UUGAACGCUGGCGGCAGGCCUAACACAUGCCCGUCGAACGGUAACAGGAAGAAGCUUGCUUCUUUGCUGACGAGUGGCGGACGGGUGAGUAAUGUCUGGGAAACUGCCUGAUGGAGGGGGAUAACUACUGGAAACGGUAGCUAAUACCGCAUAACGUCGCAAGACCAAAGAGGGGGACCUUCGGGCCUCUUGCCAUCGGAUGUGCCCAGAUGGGAUUAGCUAGUAGGUGGGGUAACGGCUCACCUAGGCGACGAUCCCUAGCUGGUCUGAGAGGAUGACCAGCCACACUGGAACUGAGACACGGUCCAGACUCCUACGGGAGGCAGCAGUGGGGAAUAUUGCACAAUGGGCGCAAGCCUGAUGCAGCCAUGCCGCGUGUAUGAAGAAGGCCUUCGGGUUGUAAAGUACUUUCAGCGGGGAGGAAGGGAGUAAAGUUAAUACCUUUGCUCAUUGACGUUACCCGCAGAAGAAGCACCGGCUAACUCCGUG
Molecule: ribosomal RNA, 489 nt
Filed under: uncultured bacterium
Lineage: Bacteria
Description: partial 16S ribosomal RNA
Rfam family: Bacterial small subunit ribosomal RNA
Source: RNAcentral